Molecule: ribosomal RNA, 478 nt
Filed under: uncultured bacterium
Lineage: Bacteria
Description: partial 16S ribosomal RNA
Rfam family: Bacterial small subunit ribosomal RNA
Source: RNAcentral
GACGAACGCUGGCGGCGUGCUUAACACAUGCAAGUCGAACGGUAAGGCCCUUCGGGGUACACGAGUGGCGAACGGGUGAGUAACACGUGGGUGAUCUACCCUGCACCUCGGGACAAGCCUGGGAAACUGGGUCUAAUACCGGAUAGGACUCCGGACUGCAUGGUCUGGGGUGGAAAGCUUUUGCGGUGUGGGAUGGGCCCGCGGCCUAUCAGCUUGGUGGUGGGGUGAUGGCCUACCCAGGCGACGACGGGUAGCCGGCCUGAGAGGGUGACCGGCCACACUGGGACUGAGAUACGGCCCAGACUCCUACGGGAGGCAGCAGUGGGGAAUAUUGCACAAUGGGCGCAAGCCUGAUGCAGCGACGCCGCGUGAGGGAUGACGGCCUUCGGGUUGUAAACCUCUUUCAGCAUCGACGAAGCGAAAGUGACGGUAGGUGCAGAAGAAGGACCGGCCAACUACGUGCCAGCCGCCGCGGUAA